AAAUUUGAAAUUUACUUUUUCCGACUCUCUCUCUCUCUCUUCCUUUCCCUGCUUCUCUCUUUUAUCUUUCUCACCCUUUUUCUUUUUCUCUUUCUCUGUCAUCUUUUCUCUUUAUCAUCCUUCAUCUUCUUUAUCUCUAUUCUUCUUCUUCCUCAACCUUCUCCCUCUUCUUAUUCGUCGUCUUCUUCUUCUUCCGAUAUCGUCAGUAAAAUCAUCAUCAUCAUCCUCUUCUCCCUCUGCACUACCAACGAAGUCCUAGCCAAAGAAGACAAAGCGAUCGAACUUGAAUAUGAAGAUGUCACUUUGUAA
This is a non-coding RNA of Vicia faba (fava bean), 309 nucleotides long. Lineage: Eukaryota; Viridiplantae; Streptophyta; Magnoliopsida; Fabales; Fabaceae. The record is from the annotation of a GenBank genome assembly.